GACGAACGCUGGCGGCGUGCUUAACACAUGCAAGUCGAACGAAGUGGCGAACGGGUGAGUAACGCGUAAUCAACCUGCCAUUCAGAGGGGGACAACAGUUGGAAACGACUGCUAAUACCGCAUACAGAAGGAGGGGAUUGCGUGUGAUUAGCUAGUUGGGGGGGUAACGGCCCAACAAGGCGAUGAUCAGUAGCCGGUCUGGGAGGCUGAACGGCCACAUUGGGACUGGAACACGGCCCAGACUCCUACGGGAGGCAGCAGUGGGGAAUCUUCCGCAAUGGACGAAAGUCUGACGGAGCAACGCCGCGUGAGUGAUGACGGCCUUCGGGUUGUAAAGCUCUGUUAAUCGGGACGCGGUACCGGAAUAGAAAGCCACGGCUAACUACGUGCCAGCAGCCGCGGUAAUUC
Molecule: ribosomal RNA, 408 nt
Filed under: uncultured bacterium
Lineage: Bacteria
Description: partial 16S ribosomal RNA
Rfam family: Bacterial small subunit ribosomal RNA
Source: RNAcentral